GCCCCCCGCCAGCCUGUCGUGAGUCAGAUCCCUUUCCCAGACUCUGGGUCUUAUGGAUGUCCUGUGGAGAGCCGUUGGGACGUAUCCAGUGCUCCAAGGGUGGACUUGCUUCCUGGUGGGUUUUGAAGGAGCCUCCAAGAGCUCUGCCUAGCAACCAGGAAGGGUUUUGCCCCAGCUGGACUCCGCAGCUCCAAAUGGAACCCAGGUGCAGCCUCUAAUCUGGGAAGGUCACCCAACCCAGCAGGUGUCACAUGGGCAACCUCAGAAACCCCCUAAGCCUGGCCCCCUGGACCAGCCCUUCCACAACUCUGCCCAGGACAGCAGGUGCCUGCUGGAUCUGGGCUUGGAAGUGUGAGAGGGGGGAGGUAAGCAUGGUUGUGCUCCAGAGAAGCAGCUGCUACUUUUAAACCUACUAUCCAUGGUGGUCUUUGAGGUUGCCUCUUGGCCUCAGAGAAUCCCAGUAGAAGUUUGGAAAUAGCCUCUCUACCUGGAGCCAACUGACUUCUGGAACUGGCUUUGGAUGACAGCUGGGGUAUAGGUUCCAAUGUCUCACCUAAUAGCUUGUGUUUAUAAGCUGCUGUUGGGUGUAUGCUGGGUGGAGUCUUUUUGUUGUUUUUAAUACUGUAUUUUUGUAUGCCUUUUGCAAAGUGGUGUUAACUGUUUUUGUAUGAGAAAAAACACUCUUGGGCAAUUCUGUUGCAAGGGUCUGAUUUAUUUUGAAAGGCAGAUUCACCUGAAAUUUUGUAUUUAGUUGUGAUUAUUGAUUGCCUGAUUUUAAAAUGUUGCCUUCCGGGACAUCUUCUAAUAAAAGAUUUCUCAAACAUG
This is a long non-coding RNA of Tupaia belangeri chinensis (Chinese tree shrew), 825 nucleotides long. RefSeq lists it as uncharacterized. The transcript is spliced from 2 exons. NCBI's taxonomy places the organism in Eukaryota, Metazoa, Chordata, Mammalia, Scandentia, Tupaiidae. The record is from RefSeq and is a predicted model, not a curated record.